CCUCGAAGUUGCCGAAAUAUUCACGUAAAAAUACCGUGUAACCAUCAGGGAUGAUGGUUAAGGCGCGUUAGUACAUGGACGUACUGUCGUGCCGUUAGGUAUUUUUACUUGAAUAUGAGGAAGAACAACUU
Regulatory RNA element from Shewanella denitrificans OS217, 131 nucleotides. NCBI's taxonomy places the organism in Bacteria, Pseudomonadati, Pseudomonadota, Gammaproteobacteria, Alteromonadales, Shewanellaceae. The record is from Rfam.